GAUGAACGCUGGCGGCGUGCCUAAUACAUGCAAGUCGAGCGAACGGACGAGAAGCUUGCUUCUCUGAUGUUAGCGGCGGACGGGUGAGUAACACGUGGAUAACCUACCUAUAAGACUGGGAUAACUUCGGGAAACCGGAGCUAAUACCGGAUAAUAUUUUGAACCGCAUGGUUCAAAAGUGAAAGACGUUCUUGCUGUCACUUAUAGAUGUAUCCGCGCUGCAUUAGCUAGUUGGUAAGGUAACGGCUUACCAAGGCAACGAUGCAUAGCCGACCUGAGAGGGUGAUCGGCCACACUGGAACUGGGACACGGUCCAGACUCCUACGGGAGGCAGCAGUAGGGAAUCUUCCGCAAUGGGCGAAAGCCUGACGGAGCAACGCCGCGUGAGUGAUGAAGGUCUUCGGAUCGUAAAACUCUGUUAUUAGGGAAGAACAUAUGUGUAAGUAACUGUGCACAUCUUGACGGUACCUAAUCAGAAAGCCACGGCUAACUACGUG
RNAcentral lists this ribosomal RNA (497 nucleotides) under uncultured bacterium. Its description in RNAcentral is "partial 16S ribosomal RNA". It matches the Rfam family "Bacterial small subunit ribosomal RNA", at positions 28 to 507 of the family's 1533-position model. The record is from RNAcentral.